RNAcentral lists this ribosomal RNA (253 nucleotides) under uncultured bacterium. RNAcentral describes it as "partial 16S ribosomal RNA". It matches the Rfam family "Bacterial small subunit ribosomal RNA", at positions 524 to 776 of the family's 1533-position model. The record is from RNAcentral.
UACGUAGGGGGCAAGCGUUGUCCGGAAUCAUUGGGCGUAAAGCGCGUGUAGGCGGUCCGGUAAGUCCGCUGUGAAAGUCGGGGGCUCAACCCUCGAAUGCCGGUGGAUACUGUCGGGCUAGAGUGCGGAAGAGGCGAGUGGAAUUCCUGGUGUAGCGGUGAAAUGCGCAGAUAUCGGGAGGAAUACCGAUGGCGAAGGCAGGUCUCUGGGCUGACACUGACGCUAAUGCACGAAAGCGUGGGGAGCAAACAGG